This is a non-coding RNA of Sitophilus oryzae (rice weevil), 64 nucleotides long. The record is from the annotation of a RefSeq genome assembly. NCBI's taxonomy places the organism in Eukaryota, Metazoa, Arthropoda, Insecta, Coleoptera, Curculionidae.
AAGGAUUUAAGUUAAAAAAACUAUUGACCUUCAAAGUCAAAAUUAAGAUUAUUCUUAAGCCUUA